AGAGUUUGAUCAUGGCUCAGAUUGAACGCUGGCGGCAGGCUUAACACAUGCAAGUCGAGCGGAGCGAGGGUGCUUGCACCUUAGCUUAGCGGCGGACGGGUGAGUAAUGCUUAGGAAUCUGCCUAUUAGUGGGGGACAACGUUUCGAAAGGAACGCUAAUACCGCAUACGUCCUACGGGAGAAAGCAGGGGAUCUUCGGACCUUGCGCUAAUAGAUGAGCCUAAGUCGGAUUAGCUAGUUGGUGGGGUAAAGGCCUACCAAGGCGACGAUCUGUA
Molecule: ribosomal RNA, 275 nt
Filed under: uncultured Acinetobacter sp.
Lineage: Bacteria; Pseudomonadati; Pseudomonadota; Gammaproteobacteria; Moraxellales; Moraxellaceae
Description: partial 16S ribosomal RNA
Rfam family: Bacterial small subunit ribosomal RNA
Source: RNAcentral